UAACUUGCCUCUAAAAUUUAUCUCCUUGAGUGUACUCAACAAAAGAUAAAUUUUAGUUAAGUCAAACCCAUCAUUCAGAAAUAUCAAAUAUUUCAUAGUGUCAAACAUAUCCCUAAUGGACCAGCCUUGAGUGUACUCAACAAACUGAGACGAUUUAGGAUUCUCGUUUUUCACUAUAAUGAUGGAAGGUGAUUACAAAUGUGACUUAAUAUUUUAUUGAGGGGAUUUGCAUACAACUCCUAGAUCAUUAAGUUGACAACUCCUUGUCCUCACAUAUUUUAUCAUGUCUCUAAAAUCUAUCUCCUUGAGUGUACUCAACAAAAGAUAAACUUUAGUUAAGUCGGACCCAUCAUUCAGAAACAUCUGAUAUUUCAUAGUGUCAGACAUAUCCAUAAUAGAUCAGCCUUGAGUGUUCUCAACAAGCUGAGAUCGAUUUAGGACUCUGGGUUUUCACUAUAAUGAUGGAGGACAAAUGUAAAAUAUGACUUAAUAUUUUAUUGAGGUUUUUGUAUGCAUAGGUCUCAUCAAUAUCGAUAUAAUCAUAUAUAUAUAAUUUAUUAUACAUCUACUAUGCAAAUAAAUAUACAUAUAGUAUAAUAUAAUAGUGUGGACAAUUAUGGACUUUUACUAUCUAGUCUUCCCGAGCCAUAAGGAAGACUAGUUGGUCAAUUCCUAGGGGGUAUAGCAUUGAACAGUGUCAAUGCACCAUCUCCAUGGUCUCCACCUCUUCUUAUCUCUUCAAUUAGUCCAAUUCCAACAUGUAUCCUAUACUAGUUGGCACGCAGGCCUAAAUGAAAUUGGACUCGC
RNAcentral lists this long non-coding RNA (807 nucleotides) under Olea europaea (common olive). RNAcentral describes it as "long non-coding RNA (OEUR_LNC004119)". The record is from RNAcentral. Lineage: Eukaryota; Viridiplantae; Streptophyta; Magnoliopsida; Lamiales; Oleaceae.